GACGAACGCUGGCGGCGUGCUUAACACAUGCAAGUCGAACGGAAAGGCCCUGCUUUUGUGGGGUGCUCGAGUGGCGAACGGGUGAGUAACACGUGAGUAACCUGCCCUUGACUUUGGGAUAACUUCAGGGAACUGGGGCUAAUACCGGAUAGGAGCUCCUGCUGCAUGGUGGGGGUUGGAAAGUUUCGGCGGUUGGGGAUGGACUCGCGGCUUAUCAGCUUGUUGGUGGGGUAGUGGCUUACCAAGGCUUUGACGGGUAGCCGGCCUGAGAGGGUGACCGGCCACAUUGGGACUGAGAUACGGCCCAGACUCCUACGGGAGGCAGCAGUGGGGAAUAUUGCACAAUGGGCGGAAGCCUGAGGCAGCAACGCCGCGUGCGGGAUGACGGCCUUCGGGUUGUAAACCGCUUUCGCCUGUGACGAAGCGUGAGUGACGGUAAUGGGUAAAGAAGCACCGGCUAACUACGU
RNAcentral lists this ribosomal RNA (467 nucleotides) under uncultured bacterium. Its description in RNAcentral is "partial 16S ribosomal RNA". It matches the Rfam family "Bacterial small subunit ribosomal RNA", at positions 28 to 506 of the family's 1533-position model. The record is from RNAcentral.